UAUGUAGCUGAUGGGGCUAGAGGGAUGGCUCAGCAGUUGACAGUGUUUCCUGUUCUUCCAGAGCACACAAGGUAGGCUUCCAGCGUUCAUGUCAGGUGGACCGCAGCCUCUUGUGGUUCCACUCGGAGGAUCUUUUCUGUCCUCCCUGAGGACUGCACAUCUCUUACACACACAUAAAAAAGUAAAUCUUUAAUUUAAAAAAAAGUAGCAGAGGAUGUCUUUACGCUCCUGAUCCUGUGUUUCCAUACCCUGAGUGCUGAGAUUCUGGGCCUGCAGCACCACGCCUGGUUUGUGUGAUGCUGAGGUCGGAGCCCAGGGCUUUAGAUAUGUAGGCAAGCACUCUAGCAGCUGAUCCUUAUUCCUAAGCACCAUACUCCAUUUUGUUUAUUUAACAUGACUUUAUUCUUCAAAAGUUAAAAUUUAUUAUUUAUCAUCAUCGUGUGCAUGUGUAAGAUGGAUAUGGGGGUGUUCGUCCCAGCCCAUGUGUGGACAUCAGAGGACAGCUUUGUGUGGUUGCUUCUCUGCUUCUGCCUUUAUGUGCAUCGUCAGGCUUUACCUACUGAACAGUUCUUUAGAAAAACAUAGCCUUCAGGUGGGGCCUGAGGGGACACACAGGCUUCCAGGCUCAAGCUUGAAGAGGGAGAGCAGGUGGCAUCUGGAUGCUGAGGUGGUGGGGGCAAGCAGAGCCACAGUAGCAGGGUGUGAGCAUGUUGGCCCCUGCAUUAAAGCUGUUGGGAGAUGGCAGUUCUCCCAGCUCGUCCACAUUUGUGGUGGUGAGUCUGGUCUAACAGGACAGAUAGGCCACAGGUGGCACCAGCGUGGAAUUCAGUCCCGGGGACUCUGGACUGCCUUUCUCUGUUCGUUCCCAGACAGCGGGAGCACCGUUUGAAUUUCUUUUCAUUUCAACUAUGAUGUUCUGCUUUGAUCUUCCUUAUCUGAGAUGUUUGUUUCCUUUUAGCUCUUUCUGAUAUGGAGAUCACAGCCCAAUCAUUUGUUUUCAUUUUUGCUGGCUAUGAAGCCACAAGCACGUCCAUUUCCUUCGUGAUGUAUCAACUGGCUACUCACCCUGCUGUGCAGAAGAAACUUCAGGAUGAGAUUGACAGAGCUCUGCCCAAUAAGGCACCUGUCACCUAUGAUGCCCUGAUGGACAUGGAGUACCUGGACAUGGUAAUGAAUGAAACUCUCAGAUUGUACCCAGCUGCUAACAGGCUAGAAAGGAUCUCAAAGAAAGAUGUGGAAAUCAAUAGAGCAUUCAUUCCCAAAGGGACUGUAGUUAUGGUACCAACCUAUCCUCUCCAUCGGGAUCCUGAGUACUAGCCAGAGCCUGAGAAGUUCUGCCCUGAAAGGUUCAGCAAGGAGAACAAGGGCAGCAUCAAUCCUUAUGUAUACCUGCCCUUCGGGAUCGGACCCAGGAACUGCCUUGGCAUGAGGUUUGCCCUCAUCAGUAUGAAAUUCGCUGUCGUCAGAGUCCUGCAGAACUUCACCCUCCAGCCUUGUGAGGAAACAGAGGUGAGGCAAGAAACUCUCUCUAUAAAUUGUAUUUAGUUGGAAUGUUCUUGUUUUUUCAAUUUAGAGUUUCACCUACAGAAAGGGGAAAUUGGUCAUUCAUCAUAUUAUGCUGCCAUGUAUGGAACACAGGAUUUGACCUGUAAGCUUAAGGACCUUCCAUUCUGAGCUGCAAGUCUGUGUCUGGAUAAAGCACAAACAGAGAAAUUAUUUAGAGUUCAUGCAGAUCAGCACGACAUGAUUAAGUAUAGUGUGUUUGAGAUCAAGUCCAGGUUUUGUGUGAUUAACUGGUGAUGGGGAAACUGUUGCACACGCUCAUAGCUCGUAAUGAUCACCUUGCCGUGGUUUGUGAAUGGAGGGCUUCCCGGCACUAGCUCUGCUUUUUUUUUUUUUUCUGGUUUUUCGAGACA
This is an RNA transcript of Peromyscus leucopus (white-footed mouse), 1916 nucleotides long. It is a transcript of the gene named cytochrome P450 3A25-like, with no coding region annotated. NCBI's taxonomy places the organism in Eukaryota, Metazoa, Chordata, Mammalia, Rodentia, Cricetidae. The record is from RefSeq and is a predicted model, not a curated record. The transcript has 3 exons.